UACGGAGGGGGCUAGCGUUGUUCGGAAUUACUGGGCGUAAAGCGCACGUAGGCGGAUCAGUAAGUUAGAGGUGAAAGCCCAGGGCUCAACCCUGGAACUGCCUUUGAUACUGCUAGUCUAGAGGUCGAGAGAGGUGAGUGGAAUUCCGAGUGUAGAGGUGAAAUUCGUAGAUAUUCGGAGGAACACCAGUGGCGAAGGCGGCUCACUGGCUCGGUACUGACGCUGAGGUGCGAAAGCGUGGGGAGCAAACAGGAUGAGAUACCCUGGUAGUCCACGCCGUAAACUAUGAGAGCUAGACGUCGGGCGGCUUGCCGUUCGGUGUCGCAGCUAACGCAUUAAGCUCUCCGCCUGGGGAGUACGGCCGCAAGGUUAAA
This 374-nucleotide ribosomal RNA is filed under the name uncultured bacterium. RNAcentral's name for it is "bacterial SSU rRNA". It matches the Rfam family "Bacterial small subunit ribosomal RNA", at positions 524 to 898 of the family's 1533-position model. The record is from RNAcentral.